RNAcentral lists this ribosomal RNA (425 nucleotides) under uncultured bacterium. RNAcentral describes it as "bacterial SSU rRNA". It matches the Rfam family "Bacterial small subunit ribosomal RNA", at positions 359 to 776 of the family's 1533-position model. The record is from RNAcentral.
GAAUCUUCCGCAAUGGACGCAAGUCUGACGGAGCAACGCCGCGUGAGCGAUGAAGGUCUUCGGAUCGUAAAGCUCUGUUGUCAGGGAAGAACACGUGUGAGAGUAACUGCUCACACCUUGACGGUACCUGACCAGAAAGCCACGGCUAACUACGUGCCAGCAGCCGCGGUAAUACGUAGGUGGCAAGCGUUGUCCGGAAUUAUUGGGCGUAAAGGGCUCGCAGGCGGUCCCUUAAGUCUGAUGUGAAAUCUUGCGGCUUAACCGCAAGCGGUCAUUGGAAACUGGGGGACUUGAGUACAGAAGAGGAGAGUGGAAUUCCACGUGUAGCGGUGAAAUGCGUAGAGAUGUGGAGGAACACCAGUGGCGAAGGCGGCUCUCUGGUCUGUAACUGACGCUGAGGAGCGAAAGCGUGGGGAGCAAACAGG